GAUGAAGAACGUAGCGAAAUGCGAUAAGUGAUGUGAAUUGCAGAAUUCAGUGAAUCAUCGAAUCUUUGAACGCACAUUGCGCCCUCUGGUAUUCCGGGGGGCAUGCCUGUUCGAGCGUCAUUACAACCCUCAAGCUUUGCUUGGUAUUGGACAUUGCCAGUUUCUGGCAGGUCUUAAAAUCAGUGGCGGUGCCAUUUGGCUUCAAGCGUAGUAAUUCUUCUCGCUUUGGAGAUCCAAGUGGUUACUUGCCAAUAACCCCCAAUUUUUUCAGGUUGACCUCGGAUCAGGUAGGGAUACCCGCUGAACUUAAGCAUAUCAAUAAGCGGAGGA
RNAcentral lists this unclassified non-coding RNA (330 nucleotides) under soil metagenome. RNAcentral's name for it is "partial contains 5.8S ribosomal RNA, internal transcribed spacer 2, and large subunit ribosomal RNA". The stretch from base 1 to 120 matches the Rfam family "5.8S ribosomal RNA", at positions 35 to 154 of the family's 154-position model. The record is from RNAcentral.